CAUGAAAGUGGCGGAUGGGUGAGUAACGCGUAAGAAACCUGCCUUUCACACCGGGAUAGCAGCUGGAAACGGCUAUUAAUACCGGAUGAUACUUUUCUGACGCAUGUUAGGAAGGUCAAAGAAUUUCGGUGAAAGAUGGUCUUGCGUCUGAUUAGCUAGUUGGUGGGGUAACGGCCCACCAAGGCGACGAUCAGUAGCCGGCCUGAGAGGGUGUACGGCCACAUUGGGACUGAGACACGGCCCAAACUCC
RNAcentral lists this ribosomal RNA (250 nucleotides) under uncultured bacterium. RNAcentral's name for it is "partial 16S ribosomal RNA". It matches the Rfam family "Bacterial small subunit ribosomal RNA", at positions 88 to 339 of the family's 1533-position model. The record is from RNAcentral.